GAUGGGCAUUUCAUGUCUUUUGUAUUAAAGAAUUAAAUGGAUGAAAUAUGAAAUUUUAUUAAAAGAAAAAGGGGUGAAAAGAACAAAGUUUUGUCCAUCUUUGUUCAUCAUAGCCUAAAGUUAGAGAAGAGAAAGGAGAGGAGAAAGCUCUUAAAUGUUCGGUCACUUGGGGAAGAAAAUUGAAGGCAGUUCGUGUGUGGAUCUCGUCAGCAUAUGGUCGCAAACAGGAAAUCCCCAACCAUAGUGGGCUUGGAGCUGUGAGGGAAUUCGGAGUGGCCACCCGUUCUGAAAGUUUGAUUUUCUUCUGGAGAACUGGACAUCCUUUUAUUUACGUUUGAAGUUUUGGGUUUUUAAAUGUAAUAAGGCCGCUUAAUUAUUUUUGAUGGUUUUAAUAUGCAUUACUAAGAUAGGUAUUACUUAUUUUAA
Gossypium arboreum is the source of this 426-nucleotide long non-coding RNA. RefSeq lists it as uncharacterized. The transcript has 3 exons. NCBI's taxonomy places the organism in Eukaryota, Viridiplantae, Streptophyta, Magnoliopsida, Malvales, Malvaceae. The record is from RefSeq and is a predicted model, not a curated record.